AGAAUCAACGCUGGCGGCGUGCCUAACACAUGCAAGUCGCACGAGAAAGGGACUUCGGUCUUGAGUAAAGUGGCGCACGGGUGAGUAACACGUGAAUUAUCUACCUCCGAAUGGGGAAUAACUGAGAGAAAUCUUAGCUAAUACCGCAUAAUACCUACGGGUCAAAGCAGCAAUGCGUUUGGAGAGGAGUUCGCGGUCGAUUAGUUAGUUGGCGGGGUAAUGGCCCACCAAGACGAUGAUCGAUAUCCGGCCUGAGAGGGCGCACGGACACACUGGAACUGAAACACGGUCCAGACUCCUACGGGAGGCAGCAGUGGGGAAUUUUGCGCAAUGGGGGAAACCCUGACGCAGCAACGCCGCGUGGAGGAUGAAAUAUCUUGGUAUGUAAACUCCUUUCGAUGGGGAAGAUAAUGACGGUACCCAUAGAAGAAGCCCGGCUAACUUCGUGCCAGCAGCCGC
RNAcentral lists this ribosomal RNA (459 nucleotides) under uncultured bacterium. RNAcentral's name for it is "SSU rRNA". It matches the Rfam family "Bacterial small subunit ribosomal RNA", at positions 26 to 518 of the family's 1533-position model. The record is from RNAcentral.